UACGUAGGGAGCGAGCGUUAUCCGGAUUUACUGGGUGUAAAGGGUGCGUAGGCGGCUAUGCAAGUCAGGUGUGAAAUGUACGGGCUUAACUCGUAAACUGCAUUUGAAACUGUAUAGCUUGAGUAGAGUAGAGGCAGGCGGAAUUUCCGGUGUAGCGGUGAAAUGCGUAGAGAUCGGAAGGAACACCAGUGGCGAAGGCGGUCUGCUGGGCUCAAACUGACGCUGAGGCACGAAAGCAUGGGGAGCAAACA
Molecule: ribosomal RNA, 251 nt
Filed under: uncultured bacterium
Lineage: Bacteria
Description: partial 16S ribosomal RNA
Rfam family: Bacterial small subunit ribosomal RNA
Source: RNAcentral